RNAcentral lists this long non-coding RNA (1521 nucleotides) under Macaca fascicularis (crab-eating macaque). RNAcentral describes it as "lncRNA (ENSMFAG00000055122.1)". Lineage: Eukaryota; Metazoa; Chordata; Mammalia; Primates; Cercopithecidae. The record is from RNAcentral.
GGGUAAUUGAAUGAGGGCCUGUGUAAGGUACUUUGAAAGUUGAUUCUGAGCCAGGUGAGGACGGCUAUUAAGGGAAGGAGCUGAAUGUCAAAGGAUCUUCCCUACUCCCGCUUUGUGGCCGGCUAAGGACAUGCCACCCAGCUGCCUAGAGAAGAUGUGAUGUCAGAAAUUAGCUCGGCAGAGGCAUGAUGACAUGGGGCUUUGGGUCUUGGAAGAGUAUUUUAAGAAACAGGCUUUCUGAUCCUUACCCUGAGCUAGAGAAGAAACAUGCCUUGUGGAGGAGGCAAAUGUGAAUAAAACCCACAGCUUUGUCCCAUCUUUUCCAUUUUUCCAGCUGUAGAAACAUGUCUCCUAAUACAGAUAAGCUAUCCUUGUUCCCAUACUGCUUUGCACAUAGCAGGAUCACAGUAUUUAAUGAAUGAAUGAAUGAGAGAAUGAAUGGUAUCACCAGCCUCUGGACUUCAGAGGCUUCCUUAGUUCCUGUGGUUGGUUGGUUUGUUUAUUUUGAGACACAGUCUCACUCUGUCACUCCAGGCUGGAGUGCAGUGGUGUGAUCUUGGCUCACUGCAACCUCCAUUUCCAAGAUUAAAGUCAUUCACGUGCUUCAACUUCUUGAACAGCUGGAAUUACAGGUGCCUGCUGCCACACCUGGCUAAUUUUUGUAUUUUUAAUAGAGAUGGGGUUUCACCAUGUUGGCCAGGCUGGUCUUGAGGUGACCUCAAAUGAUCCACCCGCCUCAACCUCCCAAAGUGCUGGGAUUAGAGGCGUGAGCUACCGUGCCUGGUCAGUUCCCGUGGUUUAGAUGGGGAGAGAGGCCAUGGUGGUUUUGUUCAUGGGUGUAAUUGCACUAAGCCUAUGUUCCUAAGAUAGGGCUGUGUCUAUUCCUCACUCCUGCUCCAGUCACGUGUCUCCCUCCUUCUCUCUGAGACCGCUUGGAGCCCCUAUAGCCUUUCUCCGGGUCCUGGGGAGAGGCAAAGUGAAGGUCAGCUUGUGGUUAACAUCAGUCAUAGGUGAUAGGAGUGGCUUGGAGUCAGUUCAGUGAGAGUCCUCCAGGAGGUGGACCUUUGCCUCCAGCUGUUUUUGAGAGGCAACAAUCGCACUUGAGGCCUCAGUCUAGAGCCCACUGAACAGUGGACAAAGUACCUUCUUAUCUUCACAGCUACCUGUGAAGGUUAGCAUCAUCAACCCCCACCCCGCCCCCACCACCACAAUUUUAGAAAUGAGGAAGGGUUGGCCAGGCACGGUGGCUCACACCUGUAAUCCCAGCACUUUGGGAGGCCGAGGCGGGUGGAUCACUUGAGGUCAGGAGUUUGAGACUAGCCUGGCCAACACAGUGAGACCCGUCUCUACUAAAAAUACAAAAAUUAGCUGGGUGUGGUGGCGGACGCCUGUAACCCUAGCUACUUGGGAGGCUGAGGCAUGAGAAUUGCUUGAACCCAGGAGGUGGAGUUUGCAGUGAGCUGAGAUUGUGCACUCCAGCCUGGGUGACAGAGGAAGACUGUCUGGAAAAAAAAAAAAAAA